GCAGCUACCAAAACUUUGCCUACACUGUCCAUCUCUGUUCUCCGCUGUCCGUCACUGUAAGAGUGCUCUGCCAGAAGGCCAAGGAAAUAUUAAUGGAAGAAAGCAAUGUCCAGCCUGUAAAAAGCCCGGUAACUCUCUGUGGUGAUAUUCAUGGACAAUUCCAUGAUCUGGCGAAGCUUUUCCGCAUUGGAGGAAAGGCAUUAUUCUGAUUUG
Malus domestica (apple) is the source of this 213-nucleotide non-coding RNA. NCBI's taxonomy places the organism in Eukaryota, Viridiplantae, Streptophyta, Magnoliopsida, Rosales, Rosaceae. The record is from RefSeq and is a predicted model, not a curated record.